Non-coding RNA from Pelobates cultripes (western spadefoot toad), 278 nucleotides. Lineage: Eukaryota; Metazoa; Chordata; Amphibia; Anura; Pelobatidae. The record is from the annotation of a GenBank genome assembly.
UUCCAAAAAAACAUUUAUUGAGAUAAAAUUAAUAUAAUAAAAUCAGGACAUAUAUAAGCAGUAUGUAGAAAAAAUCUUACAAUACCGCAAUAUACAAUAAGUCCUUAGUACAAGUACAAAAUGCAAACGCGUUUUGACUAAAAAUAGUCUUCCUCAGUGCAACAUAAAGUUAAACAGACCCUCUGUACCCUUUUAUAUCUUCAAUUCCUACUGAAUGUUCAAGUUUUCGCAGUAGAAAUCAACUCCGUUUCCGGAUCGCGGGAAAACGCCAUUCACUU